This 73-nucleotide transfer RNA is filed under the name Rattus norvegicus (Norway rat). RNAcentral's name for it is "tRNA-Ala-AGC-15-1". It matches the Rfam family "tRNA". Rfam says of the family: Transfer RNA (tRNA) molecules are approximately 80 nucleotides in length. Their secondary structure includes four short double-helical elements and three loops (D, anti-codon, and T loops). Further hydrogen bonds mediate the characteristic L-shaped molecular structure. tRNAs have two regions of fundamental functional importance: the anti-codon, which is responsible for specific mRNA codon recognition, and the 3' end, to which the tRNAs corresponding amino acid is attached (by aminoacyl-tRNA synthetases). tRNAs cope with the degeneracy of the genetic code in two manners: having more than one tRNA (with a specific anti-codon) for a particular amino acid; and 'wobble' base-pairing, i.e. permitting non-standard base-pairing at the 3rd anti-codon position. The record is from RNAcentral. Lineage: Eukaryota; Metazoa; Chordata; Mammalia; Rodentia; Muridae.
UUGGGGAUUUAGCUCAGUGGUAGAGCGCUUGCCUAGCAAGCACAAGGCCCUGGGUUCGGUCCCCAGCUCCAAA